AUCAUAGUUUUGAUGUCAAGC
This 21-nucleotide non-coding RNA is filed under the name Rattus norvegicus (Norway rat). The record is from RNAcentral. Lineage: Eukaryota; Metazoa; Chordata; Mammalia; Rodentia; Muridae.